GUUGAGAUCUGAACAAAUCUGAAUUUUAGAAAUUCCAUAUAUAUAUGGAAAAGAAUCUUUCCCAGCAAGUUUUGUCUCCGGUCUAUAGUCUAAAAAGAGGCUCUCGAUUGAAAUAUUAUAUUGCAGACAUGGCUAGUAGGGGAUGAAUUGAGUGAAGAUGAACAAUUGAAUGCACCAAAAGGAACAUUAUUUAUUCCUUUUUCACAAUUUCCACCAAGAAAAGCUCGCAAGGACUGCUUCUAUUUCAAUACACCAGCCAUGAUUGCUCCAAAGCAUCUUGAAAAUGUAGAUUCUUGUGAGAAUUGGCUACCAAGAAGAGUGAUGAGUGCCUGGAGAAUAGCUGGAAUUUUGCACGCAUUGGAAGGUUGGAAUGAGCAUGAAUGUGGUGACAUGAUGCUUGAUACUGAAAAAGUGUGGAAAGCUAGUCUGGAACAUGGUUUUUGCCCAUUAACCAAGAUUUUUGCUGCUUAAUCAAAGGGCUAAAAUUAUAUAUAGACUGCUCUUUUGAUUUAUAUUAUUGAAUCUUGGAUCUGCGGCGACUUAUAAGUUUGUAAAAUAUUUCCUACAACACUUUGUGCAACAAAACUAUUAUGUUGCUCAAGGUUGUGCCCUUCUAGAAGUUCUUUCAACAAAAUUUACCCGGUAGCAAAAGCCGCCAUUAAUAUAAAGGUUUGAGGUAUCUUAUUAAAAAUUGGCUUAAGAACAA
Molecule: long non-coding RNA, 706 nt
Organism: Capsicum annuum
Lineage: Eukaryota; Viridiplantae; Streptophyta; Magnoliopsida; Solanales; Solanaceae
Exons: 2
Source: RefSeq, a predicted model, not a curated record